AGUAACACGUGGAUAACCUACCUAUAAGACUGGGAUAACUUCGGGAAACCGGAGCUAAUACCGGAUAAUAUAUUGAACCGCAUGGUUCAAUGGUGAAAGACGGUUUUGCUGUCACUUAUAGAUGGAUCCGCGCCGCAUUAGCUAGUUGGUAAGGUAACGGCUUACCAAGGCAACGAUGCGUAGCCGACCUGAGAGGGUGGAUCGGCCACACUGGAACUGAGACACGGUCCAGACUCCUACGGGAGGGCAGCAGCA
This 255-nucleotide ribosomal RNA is filed under the name uncultured Staphylococcus sp. RNAcentral describes it as "partial 16S ribosomal RNA". It matches the Rfam family "Bacterial small subunit ribosomal RNA", at positions 109 to 355 of the family's 1533-position model. The record is from RNAcentral. Lineage: Bacteria; Bacillati; Bacillota; Bacilli; Caryophanales; Staphylococcaceae.